CCUACGGGAGGCAGCAGUGGGGAAUUUUGGACAAUGGGGGCAACCCUGAUCCAGCCAUUCCGCGUGAGUGAAGAAGGCCUUCGGGUUGUAAAGCUCUUUCGCAAGGGAAGAAAACUUAUGAUCGAAUAAAUCAUGAGGUUGACGGUACCUUGAUAAGAAGCACCGGCUAACUACGUGCCAGCAGCCGCGGUAAUACGUAGGGUGCGAGCGUUAAUCGGAAUUACUGGGCGUAAAGCGUGCGCAGGCGGUUUUGUAAGUCGGAUGUGAAAUCCCCGGGCUCAACCUGGGAACUGCGUUCGAAACUGCAAGGCUAGAGUGUGUCAGAGGGGGGUAGAAUUCCACGUGUAGCAGUGAAAUGCGUAGAGAUGUGGAGGAAUACCAAUGGCGAAGGCAGCCCCCUGGGAUAACACUGACGCUCAUGCACGAAAGCGUGGGGAGCAAACAGGAUUAGAUACCCUGGUAGUCCACGCCCUAAACGAUGUCAACUAGUUGUUGGUAGAGUAAAAUCUAUGAGUAACGUAGCUAACGCGUGAAGUUGACCGCCUGGGGAAGUACGGUCGCAAGNUUAAAACUCAAAGGAAUUGACCGGNNGAGAGNGCGAGACGACGACGAGGGAGGAGG
Molecule: ribosomal RNA, 621 nt
Filed under: uncultured bacterium
Lineage: Bacteria
Description: bacterial SSU rRNA
Rfam family: Bacterial small subunit ribosomal RNA
Source: RNAcentral